Molecule: long non-coding RNA, 499 nt
Filed under: Homo sapiens (human)
Lineage: Eukaryota; Metazoa; Chordata; Mammalia; Primates; Hominidae
Description: HSALNT0055283
Source: RNAcentral
AGAAACAUUGCUGAGAAACACAAAUGGACUUCUCCUACGUCGUUUUCAAGGGAUUUCAGUGAAGAUUUAAAUGGCUUUUCACGUACUGUUUGCUGUUUGUAGCUUUGAGUGCAGUGCUACAGGCACAGACCUGGGAAGCUGAGCUGAGAAGACCCAGCUCCCUGCUCAUUUCCAUUCAGAACCCAAGAAUCUGCAGGAACCACAAGAGAUUGGAUGAGAAGCUGGGGGCAGAGUUCUAACAGCAGCCCAAGCCUCCACAGUGCCAAGAUGGGCCAUCUGCCUGUGAGAAGGGAAAGCUUCCACUUCUCUUAGCAAUGACUCUGGCUUAUUUCUAAUUUAGCAGAAAAAAAAAAAUGAUUCAAGCAAUAUCAUGUGCUUCUAUAUCUUCAAAGCAAUACCACACCAUCAAUUAGCAGCUCAGCGUACCAACAGUUCUAAACUUUUUGCGAGCUUCUUGGAAACAAGAUGUGGAGCUUCAGCAGAAGAAAAUUGGUAAGAA